UUAAGCGACUAAGCGUACACGGUGGAUGCCCUGGCAGUCAGAGGCGAUGAAGGACGUGCUAAUCUGCGAUAAGCGUCGGUAAGGUGAUAUGAACCGUUAUAACCGGCGAUUUCCGAAUGGGGAAACCCAGUGUGAUUCGUCACACUAUCAUUAACUGAAUCCAUAGGUUAAUGAGGCGAACCGGGGGAACUGAAACAUCUAAGUACCCCGAGGAAAAGAAAUCAACCGAGAUUCCCCCAGUAGCGGCGAGCGAACGGGGAGCAGCCCAGAGCCUGAAUCAGUGUGUGUGUUAGUGGAAGCGUCUGGAAAGGCGCGCGAUACAGGGUGACAGCCCCGUACACAAAAAUGCACAUACUGUGAGCUCGAUGAGUAGGGCGGGACACGUGGUAUCCUGUCUGAAUAUGGGGGGACCAUCCUCCAAGGCUAAAUACUCCUGACUGACCGAUAGUGAACCAGUACCGUGAGGGAAAGGCGAAAAGAACCCCGGCGAGGGGAGUGAAAAAGAACCUGAAACCGUGUACGUACAAGCAGUGGGAGCACGCUUAGGCGUGUGACUGCGUACCUUUUGUAUAAUGGGUCAGCGACUUAUAUUCUGUAGCAAGGUUAACCGAAUAGGGGAGCCGAAGGGAAACCGAGUCUUAACUGGGCGUUAAGUUGCAGGGUAUAGACCCGAAACCCGGUGAUCUAGCCAUGGGCAGGUUGAAGGUUGGGUAACACUAACUGGAGGACCGAACCGACUAAUGUUGAAAAAUUAGCGGAUGACUUGUGGCUGGGGGUGAAAGGCCAAUCAAACCGGGAGAUAGCUGGUUCUCCCCGAAAGCUAUUUAGGUAGCGCCUCGUGAAUUCAUCUCCGGGGGUAGAGCACUGUUUCGGCAAGGGGGUCAUCCCGACUUACCAACCCGAUGCAAACUGCGAAUACCGGAGAAUGUUAUCACGGGAGACACACGGCGGGUGCUAACGUCCGUCGUGAAGAGGGAAACAACCCAGACCGCCAGCUAAGGUCCCAAAGUCAUGGUUAAGUGGGAAACGAUGUGGGAAGGCCCAGACAGCCAGGAUGUUGGCUUAGAAGCAGCCAUCAUUUAAAGAAAGCGUAAUAGCUCACUGGUCGAGUCGGCCUGCGCGGAAGAUGUAACGGGGCUAAACCAUGCACCGAAGCUGCGGCAGCGACGCUUAUGCGUUGUUGGGUAGGGGAGCGUUCUGUAAGCCUGCGAAGGUGUGCUGUGAGGCAUGCUGGAGGUAUCAGAAGUGCGAAUGCUGACAUAAGUAACGAUAAAGCGGGUGAAAAGCCCGCUCGCCGGAAGACCAAGGGUUCCUGUCCAACGUUAAUCGGGGCAGGGUGAGUCGACCCCUAAGGCGAGGCCGAAAGGCGUAGUCGAUGGGAAACAGGUUAAUAUUCCUGUACUUGGUGUUACUGCGAAGGGGGGACGGAGAAGGCUAUGUUGGCCGGGCGACGGUUGUCCCGGUUUAAGCGUGUAGGCUGGUUUUCCAGGCAAAUCCGGAAAAUCAAGGCUGAGGCGUGAUGACGAGGCACUACGGUGCUGAAGCAACAAAUGCCCUGCUUCCAGGAAAAGCCUCUAAGCAUCAGGUAACAUCAAAUCGUACCCCAAACCGACACAGGUGGUCAGGUAGAGAAUACCAAGGCGCUUGAGAGAACUCGGGUGAAGGAACUAGGCAAAAUGGUGCCGUAACUUCGGGAGAAGGCACGCUGAUAUGUAGGUGAAGUGAUUUACUCAUGGAGCUGAAAUCAGUCGAAGAUACCAGCUGGCUGCAACUGUUUAUUAAAAACACAGCACUGUGCAAACACGAAAGUGGACGUAUACGGUGUGACGCCUGCCCGGUGCCGGAAGGUUAAUUGAUGGGGUUAGCGCAAGCGAAGCUCUUGAUCGAAGCCCCGGUAAACGGCGGCCGUAACUAUAACGGUCCUAAGGUAGCGAAAUUCCUUGUCGGGUAAGUUCCGACCUGCACGAAUGGCGUAAUGAUGGCCAGGCUGUCUCCACCCGAGACUCAGUGAAAUUGAACUCGCUGUGAAGAUGCAGUGUACCCGCGGCAAGACGGAAAGACCCCGUGAACCUUUACUAUAGCUUGACACUGAACAUUGAGCCUUGAUGUGUAGGAUAGGUGGGAGGCUUUGAAGUGUGGACGCCAGUCUGCAUGGAGCCGACCUUGAAAUACCACCCUUUAAUGUUUGAUGUUCUAACGUGGACCCGUAAUCCGGGUUGCGGACAGUGUCUGGUGGGUAGUUUGACUGGGGCGGUCUCCUCCUAAAGAGUAACGGAGGAGCACGAAGGUUGGCUAAUCCUGGUCGGACAUCAGGAGGUUAGUGCAAUGGCAUAAGCCAGCUUGACUGCGAGCGUGACGGCGCGAGCAGGUGCGAAAGCAGGUCAUAGUGAUCCGGUGGUUCUGAAUGGAAGGGCCAUCGCUCAACGGAUAAAAGGUACUCCGGGGAUAACAGGCUGAUACCGCCCAAGAGUUCAUAUCGACGGCGGUGUUUGGCACCUCGAUGUCGGCUCAUCACAUCCUGGGGCUGAAGUAGGUCCCAAGGGUAUGGCUGUUCGCCAUUUAAAGUGGUACGCGAGCUGGGUUUAGAACGUCGUGAGACAGUUCGGUCCCUAUCUGCCGUGGGCGCUGGAGAACUGAGGGGGGCUGCUCCUAGUACGAGAGGACCGGAGUGGACGCAUCACUGGUGUUCGGGUUGUCAUGCCAAUGGCACUGCCCGGUAGCUAAAUGCGGAAGAGAUAAGUGCUGAAAGCAUCUAAGCACGAAACUUGCCCCGAGAUGAGUUCUCCCUGACUCCUUGAGAGUCCUGAAGGAACGUUGAAGACGACGACGUUGAUAGGCCGGGUGUGUAAGCGCAGCGAUGCGUUGAGCUAACCGGUACUAAUGAACCGUGAGGCUUAACCUU
RNAcentral lists this ribosomal RNA (2902 nucleotides) under Escherichia coli. Its description in RNAcentral is "bacterial LSU rRNA". It matches the Rfam family "Bacterial large subunit ribosomal RNA". Lineage: Bacteria; Pseudomonadati; Pseudomonadota; Gammaproteobacteria; Enterobacterales; Enterobacteriaceae. The record is from RNAcentral.